GAAUUCAACUCCUACGGGAGGCAGCAGUGGGGAAUUUUGGACAAUGGGGGCAACCCUGAUCCAGCGACGCAGCGUGCGGGAUGACGGCCUUCGGGUUGUAAACCGCUUUCAGCAGGGAAGAAGCGCAAGUGACGGUACCUGCAGAAGAAGUACCGGCUAACUACGUGCCAGCAGCCGCGGUAAUACGUAGGGUACGAGCGUUGUCCGGAAUUAUUGGGCGUAAAGAGCUCGUAGGUGGUUGGUCACGUCUGCUGUGGAAACGCAACGCUUAACGUUGCGCGUGCAGUGGGUACGGGCUGACUAGAGUGCAGUAGGGGAGUCUGGAAUUCCUGGUGUAGCGGUGAAAUGCGCAGAUAUCAGGAGGAACACCGAUGGCGAAGGCAGGUCUCUGGGCUGUUACUGACGCUGAGGAGCGAAAGCAUGGGGAGCGAACAGGAUUAGAAACCCCAGUAGUCCAGGCGUU
This 463-nucleotide ribosomal RNA is filed under the name uncultured bacterium. RNAcentral describes it as "bacterial SSU rRNA". It matches the Rfam family "Bacterial small subunit ribosomal RNA", at positions 328 to 803 of the family's 1533-position model. The record is from RNAcentral.